RNAcentral lists this ribosomal RNA (253 nucleotides) under uncultured bacterium. Its description in RNAcentral is "partial 16S ribosomal RNA". It matches the Rfam family "Bacterial small subunit ribosomal RNA", at positions 524 to 776 of the family's 1533-position model. The record is from RNAcentral.
UACGUAGGGUGCGAGCGUUAAUCGGAAUUACUGGGCGUAAAGCGUGCGCAGGCGGUGGUGCAAGACAGAUGUGAAAUCCCCGGGCUCAACCUGGGAACUGCAUUUGUGACUGCACGGCUGGAGUGCGGCAGAGGGGGAUGGAAUUCCGCGUGUAGCAGUGAAAUGCGUAGAUAUGCGGAGGAACACCGAUGGCGAAGGCAAUCCCCUGGGCCUGCACUGACGCUCAUGCACGAAAGCGUGGGGAGCAAACAGG